This 181-nucleotide ribosomal RNA is filed under the name Aureonarius infucatus. Its description in RNAcentral is "Cortinarius infucatus partial 28S ribosomal RNA". It matches the Rfam family "Eukaryotic large subunit ribosomal RNA", at positions 1 to 176 of the family's 3401-position model. Lineage: Eukaryota; Fungi; Basidiomycota; Agaricomycetes; Agaricales; Cortinariaceae. The record is from RNAcentral.
UGUGACCUCAAAUCAGGUAGGACUACCCGCUGAACUUAAGCAUAUCAAUAAGCGGAGGAAAAGAAACUAACAAGGAUUCCCCUAGUAACUGCGAGUGAAGCGGGAAAAGCUCAAAUUUAAAAUCUGGCAGUCCUUUAACUGCCCGAGUUGUAAUCUAGAGAAGUGUUAUCUGCGCUGGACC